RNAcentral lists this ribosomal RNA (497 nucleotides) under uncultured bacterium. RNAcentral describes it as "partial 16S ribosomal RNA". It matches the Rfam family "Bacterial small subunit ribosomal RNA", at positions 28 to 507 of the family's 1533-position model. The record is from RNAcentral.
GAUGAACGCUGGCGGCGUGCCUAAUACAUGCAAGUCGAGCGAACAGAUGAGGAGCUUGCUUCUCUGAUGUUAGCGGCGGACGGGUGAGUAACACGUGGAUAACCUACCUAUAAGACUGGGAUAACUUCGGGAAACCGGAGCUAAUACCGGAUAAUAUUUUGAACCGCAUGGUUCAAUAGUGAAAGACGGUCUUGCUGUCACUUAUAGAUGGAUCCGCGCCGCAUUAGCUAGUUGGUAAGGUAACGGCUUACCAAGGCAACGAUGCAUAGCCGACCUGAGAGGGUGAUCGGCCACACUGGAACUGAGACACGGUCCAGACUCCUACGGGAGGCAGCAGUAGGGAAUCUUCCGCAAUGGGCGAAAGCCUGACGGAGCAACGCCGCGUGAGUGAUGAAGGUCUUCGGAUCGUAAAACUCUGUUAUUAGGGAAGAACAAAUGUGUAAGUAACUAUGCACAUCUUGACGGUACCUAAUCAGAAAGCCACGGCUAACUACGUG